GUGACUGCGUACCUUUUGUAUAAUGGGUCAGCGACUUAUAUUCUGUAGCAAGGUUAACCGAAUAGGGGAGCCGGAGGGAAACCGAGUCUUAAUUGGGCGUUAAGUUGCAGGGUAUAGACCCGAAACCCGGUGAUCUAGCCAUGGGCAGGUUGAAGGUUGGGUAACACUAACUGGAGGACCGAACCGACUAAUGUUGAAAAAUUAGCGGAUGACCUGUGGCUGGGGGUGAAAGGCCAAUCAAACCGGGAGAUAGCUGGUUCUCCCCGAAAGCUAUUUAGGUAGCGCCUCGUGAAUUCAUCUCCGGGGGUAGAGCACUGUUUCGGCUAGGGGGCCAUCCCGGCUUACCAACCCGAUGCAAACUGCGAAUACCGGAGAAUGUUAUCACGGGAGACACACGGCGGGUGCUAACGUCCGUCGUGAAGAGGGAAACAACCCAGACCGCCAGCUAAGGUCCCAAAGUCAUGGUUAAGUGGGAAACGAUGUGGGAAGGCCCAGACAGCCAGGAUGUUGGCUUAGAAGCAGCCAUCAUUUAAAGAAAGCGUAAUAGCUCACUGGUCGAGUCGGCCUGCGCGGAAGAUGUAACGGGGCUAAACCAUGCACCGAAGCUGCGGCAGCGACACUCAGGUGUUGUUGGGUAGGGGAGCGUUCUGUAAGCCUGCGAAGGUGGCCUGUGAGGGUUGCUGGAGGUAUCAGAAGUGCGAAUGCUGACAUAAGUAACGAUAAAGCGGGUGAAAAGCCCGCUCGCCGGAAGACCAAGGGUUCCUGUCCAACGUUAAUCGGGGCAGGGUGAGUCGACCCCUAAGGCGAGGCCGAAAGGCGUAGUCGAUGGGAAACGGGUUAAUAUUCCCGUACUUGGUGUUACUGCGAAGGGGGGACGGAGAAGGCUAUGUUGGCCGGGCGACGGUUGUCCCGGUUUAAGCGUGUAGGUGUGUGUUCCAGGUAAAUCCGGUUCACUUUAACACUGAGGCGUGACGACGAGGCACUACGGUGCUGAAGCAACAAAUGCCCUGCUUCCAGGAAAAGCCUCUAAGCAUCAGGUAACAUCAAAUCGUACCCCAAACCGACACAGGUGGUCAGGUAGAGAAUACCAAGGCGCUUGAGAGAACUCGGGUGAAGGAACUAGGCAAAAUGGUGCCGUAACUUCGGGAGAAGGCACGCUGACACGUAGGUGAAGUGAUUUACUCAUGGAGCUGAAGUCAGUCGAAGAUACCAGCUGGCUGCAACUGUUUAUUAAAAACACAGCACUGUGCAAACACGAAAGUGGACGUAUACGGUGUGACGCCUGCCCGGUGCCGGAAGGUUAAUUGAUGGGGUCAGCGCAAGCGAAGCUCCUGAUCGAAGCCCCGGUAAACGGCGGCCGUAACUAUAACGGUCCUAAGGUAGCGAAAUUCCUUGUCGGGUAAGUUCCGACCUGCACGAAUGGCGUAAUGAUGGCCAGGCUGUCUCCACCCGAGACUCAGUGAAAUUGAACUCGCUGUGAAGAUGCAGUGUACCCGCGGCAAGACGGAAAGACCCCGUGAACCUUUACUAUAGCUUGACACUGAACAUUGAGCCUUGAUGUGUAGGAUAGGUGGGAGGCUUUGAAGUGUGGACGCCAGUCUGCAUGGAGCCGACCUUGAAAUACCACCCUUUAAUGUUUGAUGUUCUAACGUGGACCCGU
This 1660-nucleotide ribosomal RNA is filed under the name Salmonella enterica subsp. enterica serovar Agona. Its description in RNAcentral is "partial 23S ribosomal RNA". It matches the Rfam family "Bacterial large subunit ribosomal RNA", at positions 593 to 2236 of the family's 2925-position model. Lineage: Bacteria; Pseudomonadati; Pseudomonadota; Gammaproteobacteria; Enterobacterales; Enterobacteriaceae. The record is from RNAcentral.